RNAcentral lists this ribosomal RNA (1306 nucleotides) under uncultured bacterium. RNAcentral describes it as "bacterial SSU rRNA". It matches the Rfam family "Bacterial small subunit ribosomal RNA", at positions 28 to 1381 of the family's 1533-position model. The record is from RNAcentral.
AACGUACGCUGGCGGCACGCCUAACACAUGCAAGUCGAACGAAGUAGCAAUACUUAGUGGCAGACGGGUGAGUAACAUGUAGGUAUCUGCCCUUUGGCCUGGAAUAACACGAGGAAACUUGUGCUAAUACCGGAUAAGUCUUUACGGAGAAAGCUUUAUGCACCAUUGGAUGAGCCUGCACUUGAUUAGUUUGUUGGUGGGGUAAUGGCCUACCAAGACUGUGAUCAAUAGCUGAUUUGAGAGGAUGAUCAGCCACAUUGGGACUGAGACACGGCCCAAACUCCUACGGGAGGCGGCAGUGGGGAAUCUUGCACAAUGGAGGAAACUCUGAUGCAGCGAUGCCGCGUGAGUGAAGAAGGCCCUUGGGUUGUAAAGCUCUUUCGUCGGGGAAGAAAAUGACUGUACCCGAAUAAGAAGGUCCGGCUAACUUCGUGCCAGCAGCCGCGGUAAUACGAAGGGACCUAGCGUAGUUCGGAAUUACUGGGCUUAAAGAGUUCGUAGGUGGUUGAAAAAGUUAGUGGUGAAAUCCCAGAGCUUAACUCUGGAACUGCCAUUAAAACUUUUCAGCUAGAGUAUGAUAGAGGAAAGCAGAAUUUCUAGUGUAGAGGUGAAAUUCGUAGAUAUUAGAAAGAAUACCAAUUGCGAAGGCAGCUUUCUGGAUCAUUACUGACACUGAGGAACGAAAGCAUGGGUAGCGAAGAGGAUUAGAUACCCUCGUAGUCCAUGCCGUAAACGAUGUGUGUUAGACGUUGGAAAUUUAUUUUCAGUGUCGCAGGGAAAACGAUAAACACACCGCCUGGGGAGUACGACCGCAAGGUUAAAACUCAAAUGAAUUGACGGGGACCCGCACAAGUAGUGGAGCAUGUGGUUUAAUUCGAAGAUACGCGCAGAACCUUACCAACACUUGACAUGUUCGUCGCGACUCUAAGAGAUUAGAGUUUUCGGUUCGGCCGGACGAAACACAGGUGCUGCAUGGCUGUCGUCAGCUCGUGUCGUGAGAUGUUGGGUUAAGUCCCGCAACGAGCGCAACCCUCACUUUUAGUUGCCAUCAUUAAGUUGGGCACUCUGAAAGAACUGCCAGUGAUAAGCUGGAGGAAGGUGGGGAUGACGUCAAGUCCUCAUGGCCCUUACGUGUUGGGCUACACACGUACUACAAUGGUAUCUACAACAGGAAGCAAGACUGCGAAGUUAAGCAAAUCCCUAAAAGAUACCUCAGUUCGGAUUGCACUCUGCAACUCGAGUGCAUGAAGCUGGAAUUACUAGUAAUCGUGGAUCAGCGUGCCACGGUGAAUGCGUUCCCGGGUCU